Molecule: long non-coding RNA, 458 nt
Filed under: Mytilus galloprovincialis (Mediterranean mussel)
Lineage: Eukaryota; Metazoa; Mollusca; Bivalvia; Mytilida; Mytilidae
Source: RNAcentral
CACAUUUGACUACUUUUCCUCUCUCCAAAAUUCUGUUUCGUUCGUAUUUUUCGUAAUGAUGUCCCCAUUACCAUGUUUUCGGGGAACAAUUGGCGAGGCAAUAAAGGAAGUGGCAAAUUUUUACUUUUUAAACGACACAAAAAGAGUCCCAAUUGUCAGAGUGCGUAUUUUUCAUGCAGAAAUAUCGUAAAACGUAAAAUCACAAAAAUACUGAACUCCGAGGAAAAUUCAAAACGGAAAGUCCCCAAUCAAAUGGCAAAAUCAAAGGAUAAAACACAUCAAACGAAUGGUCAACAGCUGUAAUAUUCAGCUUCUGAGCUAACGCUGCGUGAAAAAAAUAUGACAUUCGAAAACAUUUUUUACCAUAGGAGAGAUUGGAUUAACAAACUCGCGCAUACGAUAUCGUUUGAUUUUAAAUUUCGUGAUUUCAUUUCAAUGGCAAUGAUAUAUAAGAUAAA